GACGAACGCUGGCGGCGUGCUUAACACAUGCAAGUCGAACGAUGAUACCUAGCUUGCUAGGUCGAUUAGUGGCGAACGGGUGAGUAACACGUGACUAACCUGCCCCUUUCUCUGGGAUAACGCUCCGAAAGGAGUGCUAAUACCGGAUACUCACACCGAGGCACAUGCCUUGGUGUGGAAAGUUUUUCGGAAAGGGAUGGAGUCGCGGCCUAUCAGCUUGUUGGUGAGGUAACGGCUCACCAAGGCGACGACGGGUAGCCGGCCUGAGAGGGGGACCGGCCACACUGGGACGGAGACACGGCCCAGACUCCUACGGGGGGCAGCAGUGGGGAAUAUUACACAAUGGGCGCAAGCCUGAUGCAGCGACGCCGGGUGGGGGAUGAAGGUCUUCGGAUUGUAACCCUCUUUCAGUAGGGACGAAGCGAAAGUGAGGGUACCUAAAGAAGAAGCACCGGCUAACUACGUGCCACCCGCCGCGGUAA
This 482-nucleotide ribosomal RNA is filed under the name uncultured bacterium. RNAcentral describes it as "partial 16S ribosomal RNA". It matches the Rfam family "Bacterial small subunit ribosomal RNA", at positions 28 to 523 of the family's 1533-position model. The record is from RNAcentral.